UGCCAGCAGCCGCGGUAAUGCGGAGGGUGCGAGCGUUGUUCGGAAUUACUGGGCGUAAAGAGCGUGUAGGCGGCUAACUAAGUCUGGUGUGAAAGCCCGGGGCUCACCCCCGGAAGUGCGCUGGAAACUGGUUAGCUAGAGUAUGGGAGAGGGAAGUGGAAUUCCUGGUGUAGCGGUGAAAUGCGUAGACAUCAGGAGGAACACCGGCGGCGAAGGCGGCUUCCUGGACCAAUACUGACGCUGAGACGCGAAAGCGUGGGGAGCAAACAGGAUUAGAUA
RNAcentral lists this ribosomal RNA (279 nucleotides) under uncultured bacterium. RNAcentral describes it as "partial 16S ribosomal RNA". It matches the Rfam family "Bacterial small subunit ribosomal RNA", at positions 506 to 784 of the family's 1533-position model. The record is from RNAcentral.